RNAcentral lists this transfer RNA (77 nucleotides) under Paraburkholderia nemoris. RNAcentral's name for it is "Paraburkholderia sp. LMG 31836 tRNA-Arg". Lineage: Bacteria; Pseudomonadati; Pseudomonadota; Betaproteobacteria; Burkholderiales; Burkholderiaceae. The record is from RNAcentral.
CAGGCGGCGGUUCGUAUUGGUACGAGACCGGUUUCUCGCCGGUGAACUCGAGGUAGUUCAAGUCUGCCUCGACCGUC